RNAcentral lists this ribosomal RNA (253 nucleotides) under uncultured bacterium. Its description in RNAcentral is "partial 16S ribosomal RNA". It matches the Rfam family "Bacterial small subunit ribosomal RNA", at positions 524 to 776 of the family's 1533-position model. The record is from RNAcentral.
UACGUAGGGUGCGAGCGUUGUCCGGAAUUAUUGGGCGUAAAGAGCUUGUAGGCGGUUUGUCGCGUCUGCUGUGAAAUCUCAAGGCUCAACCUUGAGCUUGCAGUGGGUACGGGCAGACUAGAGUGUGGUAGGGGAGACUGGAAUUCCUGGUGUAGUGGUGAAAUGCGUAGAGAUCAGGAGGAACACCGGUGGCGAAGGCGGCCCACUGGGCAGUCACUGACGCUGAGGCGCGAAAGCUCGGGGAGCGAACGGG